UCGUCUUUUGUUCGGUUUUGUACCGUUAUUAUUUGUUUGUAUGUCAAAUUAUCAUUUGUUUUUAUACUUGUAGUUUGAUGUCCUUUAUGAAAUUGCAGAUUUGUUUCAUGCUCUCUUCGCAAUUUUCUAGAAAGACUGUUUCUAGUUGUUUCAUGUGCUCUAAUACUGUGUAUUUGGCUCUAGUGUUGUUGUAUUUUGAGCAGAUGUAGAGUGCAUGUUUUAGGUCUUCUCGUUCUAAGCAGAUUUCGCAGCAAUCAUCAUCCUCGAGGCGCCACAACGCCCUUCUUUCUCUCGUGAAGGUGUUUUGAGUAUUUCGUAGUGCCAUCGUCCUUUAGAAUUGGAUAGUGCCUUGUACGCUUCCGACCAAUCAUACCAGAUCUCCUUCUGGCUUAGAGCGAGUGCAUCACCGAGUGUUAUACCAAUAUGUUCCGUUUGUUUGUCAUACGUUUUAGAGACUGCCGCUUGAUCAGCUAUUUCGUUUCCUUGAAUGCCGGUGUGGCUGGGGAUCCAUUGGAUUUUUAACGCCCCUCUUCGCAUAUCUUUUAUAUCCUUGUAAAUGUUAUAUACAAUAAAAUUCUCAAAGAGUGACGUGUUGUUCAUUAGCGAUUUACAUGCACUUCUUGAAUCAGUGAAAA
This is a long non-coding RNA of Malaya genurostris, 635 nucleotides long. RefSeq lists it as uncharacterized. The transcript is spliced from 2 exons. The record is from RefSeq and is a predicted model, not a curated record. Lineage: Eukaryota; Metazoa; Arthropoda; Insecta; Diptera; Culicidae.